AGUCUUCCACUAGCAGCCUUUGGAUGAAGACAUAGAGCUCUCAGCUCCUCCUGCUCCAUGCCUGCCUGGAUACUGCCAUGCUCCCACCUUGAUGAUAAUGGACUGAAUCUCUAAACCUGUAAGCCAGCCCCAAUUAAAUAUUGUUUUUUAUAAGACUUGCCUUGGUCAUGGUGUCUGUUCAUAGCAGUAAAACCCUAACUAAGACAGAAGUUGGUACCAGGAGUGGAGUAUUGCUGUGAUGGGCCUGACCAUGCUUUUAUUUGAAAGAAUGUGGGUUUUUUGGACUUUGGAUUUGGAACCCAGUGGAAUGCUUUAAAUGGGGCUUAAUGGGUCAUCCUAGUAGGAAUGUGGAAGACUUUGUUGUUGGGAGUAAUUUGAACUGUGUUGCCUUAGCCCAAGAAAUUUCAAAAGAGAAGACUUUCAGUAUGUGGCAUAAAGACUGUUUUGUGGUAUUUUGGUGAAGAAUGUGGCUACUUUUUGCCCUUGUCUGAAAAGUCUGCCUGAGGCUAAGGUGAAGAGACUUGGAUUAAUUGCAUUGACAAAGGAAGUUUCAAAAAAGCCCAGCAGAGACUCUGUUCUCUGGUUAAGUCUCACAAAGAGAAGUUUGAACAAGCAUAGCAAGCUUAGAAAGGCCAAAUAUAAAAUAUAUGGUUCGAGUAUUAAAGGCAUACCAGGAAGUGAAAAGGAGCAAAAUCCUGUGUUCUAGGAAAUAACAGAUUAAGGGAGUGGGACCUUGGGGCAAGAUCCUACCCAGCUGAAUUUAGAUCCAGGCAUAGUGGUACAAACCUUUAGUCUCAUGAGACAGGCAUGCUGAUCUCUGCAUUCAAGGUCAAUCUACAGAGCAAGAACCAGGAUAGCCAAGCAUAGGCAGUGAAGGAUUUAGAAAACAUAAAGCCGGUGUUAAUGUAAUAGUACAAGGGGAUCAUGUUCUAGAUCCUGUAAGCAGCAGAACUUGGCAGCUUCAGCCAUGUGGCUCUGGCUCUAGAGUUAAGAAUGGAAGGAACUACUGGGACAAUUGAUGCUGGUUAGCUGGAGCUAAGACAUUAGCAAUGAUUAAGAAGAGACCAGCAUCACUGAGUUGAAAUCUGGGAGUUGUUUUUUGGGAGCACAAAGAAGCUGUGUUCCAGAGAUAGCCAAGGUUGUACCUUGUGCUGCAGCUGACUUGGUAAUGUUUAAGAGUCACCCAGGUGGUACUGGUUUUGAAGGCAUGAAGUUGUCAUGAAGAACAGCUGAGGCUUGGCACUGUGAGAAGUCAUGGAAGGCCAUUGGAGAAGGUGUAGCCUCAGCUGUAGUUGAUGGCCCAGAACUGAAGGGGUCAGGCAAAGGAUUUGAUGUUUGGCACCAUGAAGAGAGCCUAUGAGAGGCUAUUGGUGAAGCCUGGUUGGAGUGGAACACCCCAGUGUAUUGGAGAUGUCAGUACCAUGGGAUGAUCACCAAGAACAGCAGCUGUAGUGGAGUGGAUCAAACUGAGCUUAGAGUGCUACAGAGGGCAGAGCUGGAAAAGUGAUGCCAGCCCUUAGGAGGAGUCCAAAAGAUCAAGUGGAAUCCCAGACACUGAAACAAGAAGCUGUUACCAUUGAAAUUGCCUUGGAGACUCAAAGAUGAUAAAGAUGCCAGAGCCAUGGGAUACAUGCUGAGGAAAGCUGCUAACAGGGAGUGGAACCAGCCCAGGAGAAAGCAGUUUGUUGCAGUCAACAAAGAUGAAAAAGGAGUGGAGAUCUGAAGACCGCUUUGACAUCAGCCAUUGAGAUGCAGAGUUUGGAGUUUGCCCAGCUGAUUUCCUGCCUUGCUUUGGGGAUUACAGUUAAUUAAGUUGAAUGAAUCUCAGAAGAGACCUUAAACUUUGGAUUUUUAACAUUGUUGCGACUGCUAUAGACUAUGAGGACUUUGAAAGUUGGACUAAAUGCAUUUUGCAUUAUGCUAUGUUUAAGUAUGACCCCAUAGACUUAUGUUUUUGAACAAGUCUAUGGGGACCAGGGAGUGGAAUGCAAUGGUUUGUAUAUCCUUGGACCAGGGAGUGGCACUAUCUGAAGGUGUGGCCUUGUUGGAAUAGGUGUGACCUGGUUGGAAUGGGUGUGUCACUGUGGGUAUGGGUAUAAGAUACUCACCCCAGUUGACUGUAAGUCAGUCUUCCACUAGCAGCCUUUGGAUGAAGACAUAGAGCUCUCAGCUCCUCCUGCGCCAUGCCUGCCUGGAUACUGCCAUGCUCCCACCUUGAUGAUAAUGGACUGAACCUCUCAACCUGUAAGCCAGUCCCAAUUAAAUGCUGUUUUUUAUAAGACUUGCCUUGGUCAUGGUAUCUGUUCACAGCAGUAAAACCCUAAGACAGACUGAAUGCAUUUUUGCACUAUAAUAUCUUGACAAGCUUAUGGGGGUCAGGGAUUGUGUUGGUUUGAAUGAAAAUGACAUCUAUAGACUCAUAGGAAGUGGCACUAUUAGGAAGAGAGGCCUUGUUGGAAUAAGUAUUUCUCAGAGUGGGUUUUGAGGUUUCAAGUGCUUAGUCCAGGCUCAGUGUCAUUUUCUUUCUUCCUGUUGGCUGCAAAUCCAGAGGUUCCUUCUCUAUCACCAUGUCUGCCUGUACAGUGCCAUGCUUUCCACAAUGUUGUUAACUGAUUAAACUCUGAAGUGUAAGUCAGCUCAAAAUAAAUGGGUUUCUUUAUAAG
This 2663-nucleotide long non-coding RNA is filed under the name Mus musculus (house mouse). RNAcentral's name for it is "long non-coding RNA chr4:50365789-50368452". The record is from RNAcentral. Lineage: Eukaryota; Metazoa; Chordata; Mammalia; Rodentia; Muridae.